CCUACGGGAGGCAGCAGUGAGGAAUAUUGGUCAAUGGGCUUACGCCUGAACCAGCCAAGUCGCGUGAGGGAAGACUGCCCUAUGGGUUGUAAACCUCUUUUGUCAGGGAGCAACGCCGGCUACGUGUAGCCGGACUAAGAGUACCUGAAGAAAAAGCAUCGGCUAACUCCGUGCCAGCAGCCGCGGUAAUACGGAGGAUGCGAGCGUUAUCCGGAUUUAUUGGGUUUAAAGGGUGCGUAGGCGGAAUGCCAAGUCAGCGGUAAAAUCGCGGGGCUCAACCUCGCUACGCCGAUGAAACUGGCGUGCUUGAGUGGGAGAGAAGUAUGCGGAAGGAGUGGUGUAGCGGUGAAAUGCAUAGAUAUCACGCAGAACUCCGAUUGCGAAGGCAGCAUACCGGCGCCAAACUGACGCUGAAGCACGAAAGCGUGGGUAUCGAACAGGAUUAGAUACCCCUGUAGUC
This 460-nucleotide ribosomal RNA is filed under the name uncultured bacterium. Its description in RNAcentral is "partial 16S ribosomal RNA". It matches the Rfam family "Bacterial small subunit ribosomal RNA", at positions 338 to 795 of the family's 1533-position model. The record is from RNAcentral.